GUCUCUAGUAACGCCCAGUAACAGCAAAAAGCCAUUUCUCAAAAGGGGAGUAGUUAGCUGCAGAGGAUGGCAGGGGUUUGCUCCAAAAUCCUAAGGGUGUGAUUCACCAGUAGGGGACAGUGCCAGGUGGGGAGUUUGGCUGGGGAAGUACACCUGCCAAACAGUUACGCAGGUGUCCUAAGGCAAGCUUAGGGAGGACAGAAACCUCUCAUUGAGCAGAAGGGCAAAAGCUCCCUUGAUCUUCAUUUUCAGUACGAAUAUAUACCGUGAAAGCAGGGCCUCACAAUCCUUCAGGCCUUUUAGGUCUUAAACAGGAGGUGUCAGAA
RNAcentral lists this non-coding RNA (326 nucleotides) under Loxodonta africana (African savanna elephant). RNAcentral describes it as "Eukaryotic large subunit ribosomal RNA". It matches the Rfam family "Eukaryotic large subunit ribosomal RNA", at positions 2555 to 2811 of the family's 3401-position model. Lineage: Eukaryota; Metazoa; Chordata; Mammalia; Proboscidea; Elephantidae. The record is from Rfam by way of RNAcentral.